GUAAAAUCUGAAACACAAAACCAAUGGACUCCAAAUGUUAAAUAAACAACAUCUUUGAGAAGGACCUCCAGGUUUCCCAGGACCACCUGGCUUACCUGGUCAAACUGGAUAUCCAGGUCCAGAAGGACUCCCUGGAGAAAAAGGAGAGAAAGGUGAUCCUGGACCAGUAGGUUCAAGAGGAUUGAAAGGAGAUAGGGGGAAAAUGGGAAUGCCUGGCUACCCAGGGAUCCCUGGACAUCCAGGACAGCAAGGCCCACCUGGAGAGAAAGGUGUUCCAGGAUUAGAUGGAUGCAAUGGAACGGAUGGGGCUCCAGGUAUUCCUGGUCCACCAGGAUUUCAGGGUCCUAGAGGCCCAAUAGGUCCACCUGGACCAAAAGGAGAAAAAGGAGAACCAGCAUUUGGACGUCCUGGUUUAAAAGGGCAGAAAGGAGAACCAGGAAGACAUGGUCAACCAGG
Molecule: long non-coding RNA, 456 nt
Filed under: Androctonus crassicauda
Lineage: Eukaryota; Metazoa; Arthropoda; Arachnida; Scorpiones; Buthidae
Source: RNAcentral